Nymphaea colorata (pocket water lily) is the source of this 2772-nucleotide long non-coding RNA. RefSeq lists it as uncharacterized. Lineage: Eukaryota; Viridiplantae; Streptophyta; Magnoliopsida; Nymphaeales; Nymphaeaceae. The transcript is spliced from 3 exons. The record is from RefSeq and is a predicted model, not a curated record.
CAUUCUCCACAUGAUCAAUACUUUUGCCCAUUUUUCCAGGGGUUUAAGCAAGACUGGGCUGUUUGGGGUCACUGCAAUGACAUUUAGUUAUGUGAUUUACUUCUAAAGAAAGCUUGGAGAGGUUCAUCUGCCUCGCUGGUGCUAGCAAUUACUGCAACAAUAUUUGAGAUGUUAGCUACUAGAAUCCAAAGGAAGAUUUUCAGUUGAGGAGUUCAAUAUUUGGGGUGUGCCUCUCUUUUCAGAAGGCCAAAAAAAUGGUCUCAUCCAUCAUUAUCUUGUCAUAAUCGUAUGAGAUUCGCUUCGAUAUCUGUCGCAUAUUGCUUCUUCCGUUUACAUCAUAAACGAAAAAGAAAGAAAGAGCACAACUUCCCCCCUUGCAUGAACGUGUUGUUUAUCUAUCUCUAUUCUCUAAUUCAGGUUCUUCGAUUGUUUUAUUUUCCUUUCACAGUAAAAGUGAUGGAUGGAUCUAAUCUGUCGGUGCAGUGGCAGCAGCAGUAUGACGUACCAUGCAAGUGCUUCCUAGACCUCAACAGAUGGUAUAGUUGAGAACAUAUUCUUAAGCUUGGUGUCCCUCCAUGGAAUGUCUCUACCGAAUUAACAACCAUGGAAUUACUGAGGGGUGAAGCAUGGUAGUCAAUUUUUUUAUCAUGAUAGAUGCAACAGUAUCUAAAGGAAUCGAGAGGGAAAUCGUUCUUUGUCAUGCACAUUUUCUAGAGGCAUUCUACCAAAAUGUUUGACUUGCGUGAAACAUGUUGUAAGGGCAAUUUAACUUUGGAACUGUUUUACCUUUGAAUUUUUUGCUGUUCAAGGUGGGGACCAAGACUUUAAGUGUGUGAAUUUUUUCUAUCAGUCGAGGGCAUUUAAUUUUUGGAACCAAUAAUUCCUACCGGAGCUUGGAUAAAUAUAACCGAUCUACUGCAUGAUUGAAAUAAAGCCCGCAAUAGGAAAAUAGUGGUAAAAUUCAUAUCCUUUAUUCUUAAUGUCAUUCACCAAUCCUUGCAUACCAAAGGUAAAAACCACCCAUCUCUAUCGACUGCGUCCUCUUCCUUCUGUUCUAUUUAUGAGGCAAAUGGUGACAUCUUGUUACAGCUCACCAAUCUGAAAAAACACCUCAAUCUCUCUUGAGAAGCCUAUCAUAAGCAAGUGUCGCGAAAGAGAUGCUUAGUUGCUGCAGGAGAAGCAGCAAUGGCGGUCGUGUUCUUGUGCUUCUAAGGUGGGAGGUGCACGAUGGAGAAGCAGGGCACGUGCAUUGCCAUCUCAAAGAAGUAGCUUUUGUUGGCUCUUCAUGUGCCCAUCUUUUCCAUCAUGGUCCUCCCACCUCAAUUCUCAGCCGUUACAUGUAAGCAAAGAUCGUAGCUCGCUCACUCUCUCGUAGCUUUGUAAGUAUUAUUCCUGCUGGACUUCUGAACAUCUUUGCAGUUCGGAGUUUUAUCACCAUAUACUAGAAAAGAUUAGCUGCGGCCAGUUUGGAAUCGGCUAGAUCGUUGAUCAGCAUGCUGUUGCAGUUGAAGAAGGCAAGAAAUUAGAACCCAAUUGUGUGUUUGUGGUUUACGAGGAAUGCCAAGAAGUGGAUAGGACAUCCCAAUCCAAGGAGCCUAAAGGGUCCGUGACAGAAGGGUUCUUCCUUGUCUUACACCUAUGAUGAAGGAGAAGCAUUUCUGAAGAUUACCCCUUCUCAAUCUGCAAGACAGUCAAUCGAACUAGUUUUUUAGCUCAAAUUUCUGGGAACUUGCAGCUUUCCAGCAUUAGAUUAGAUAUGGUUGUUAAUGGAUGCUAGGAAAAUUGCUAUUGUUGUUUAUCUUGUUCUCCUCAUUGUAUAUUAAUUACCAAAUUUUUCUCCUUUCAACAAUCAAAAUAUAGAAAUAUUCUAACUUUCUCCACUUCAGUUUCUAAAGUUGUAGUACUUUGAUGUUGAAUUCUAGCUUGGAUCCUUCGUGAUGCAGUGGUUGGUUGUUCGUCCUCAUCUCAAGUAACCAACAGUACCAACCUACCUGUAAGAGAGAAGCAAAACCAGCACCUAAUCUCCAGUAUCACGCCGCUGAACAGUGCUGUAAAGGCACUGCCCUCACAGGCAGUUGGUGGCUGAUUUUCUCCGACCAUCCAUGAUUAUCCUGCGAAUGAUUCCACAGGGUGAUUUGAGAUCUGGCUAUGGCCAUCAAAUGAGGAAAGACGCGAAAUGUGUUGCGCCCUUCUCCAUUGGUUACCUUCAGUUGCAGAAGAGACUGACAAAUGUUGUCCUUGAUGCUGAAUCAGGUUAGGAUCCAUGAAUAAAACCAUCGAUGCUUGUGAACAUAUCAUGGGGAUAGUUAUAUCUCUAGUGGAAAUUUCUCACAGUUUGGGAUAAAAUAUUGAAAUUUAGUGUUGAUGGUUGGAACUUAAUGAGUCUUAAUUUGUUCUAGAAAUGAAAAGAUCCCAAGUCCUUACCUUGAUCACAAAAUAAUGGCAUGACUCGGGGCUACAAAAUAAGGAUGGUUAUGAAUUAAGCAACAUGGAGUUUUCUUCUUCGCCCUUCCUUGGGGGUCCAUGGUGAGAUCAUUGUUCUUUCUUCGUAACUGCAAAAAGUGAGAGAGUUCUUUCCCGAAGAUAAACAUGCAGUAAUGCUCGGCAGCAAGACAUGUCCGUUUCCGACGGUGGGUCCAACGAAGAUCGGCAAGCCCUCGUCUUGUUUUGUUUGCUCUAAGCUACACAUUCCCUCUCCGUUUUGGCGGGAUAUAUGGUUUUUCGAGUCCGUCUGUGACUUGUAGGCAAUUGAUAGAUUCAUUCGUAUUGUUG